GACGAACGCUGGCGGCGUGCUUAACACAUGCAAGUCGAACGGAAAGGCCCCUUUUGGGGUGCUCGAGUGGCGAACGGGCGAGUAACACGUGCGUAACCUACCCUUGCCUUCGGGAUAACUUACGGAAACUGGGGCUAAUACAGACUAGGUAUCAUUGCUUCCUGGAGGGGGUUGGAUAGAUUGGGUGGGUUUGGGUGGACUGGCGGGCUAUCAGCUUGGUGGUGGGGUAGGGGCUUACCAAGGAUUGGUCGGGUAGCCGGCCUGGGAGGGCGGCCGGCCACAUUUGGACUGAGAUACGGCCCAGACUCCUACGGGGGGCAGCAGGGGGGAAAAUUGCACAAUGGGCGGGAGCCUGAUGCAGCAACGCCGCGGGCGGGAUGACGGCCUUCGGGUUGGAAACCGCUUUCAGCAGGUGCGAAGCUUGUGGUGACGGUACCGGCAGAAGAAGCACCGGCUAACUACGUG
RNAcentral lists this ribosomal RNA (465 nucleotides) under uncultured bacterium. RNAcentral's name for it is "partial 16S ribosomal RNA". It matches the Rfam family "Bacterial small subunit ribosomal RNA", at positions 28 to 507 of the family's 1533-position model. The record is from RNAcentral.